UUAAGCGACUAAGCGUACACGGUGGAUGCCCUGGCAGUCAGAGGCGAUGAAGGACGUGCUAAUCUGCGAUAAGCGUCGGUAAGGUGAUAUGAACCGUUAUAACCGGCGAUUUCCGAAUGGGGAAACCCAGUGUGAUUCGUCACACUAUCAUUAACUGAAUCCAUAGGUUAAUGAGGCGAACCGGGGGAACUGAAACAUCUAAGUACCCCGAGGAAAAGAAAUCAACCGAGAUUCCCCCAGUAGCGGCGAGCGAACGGGGAGCAGCCCAGAGCCUGAAUCAGUGUGUGUGUUAGUGGAAGCGUCUGGAAAGGCGCGCGAUACAGGGUGACAGCCCCGUACACAAAAAUACACAUAUUGUGAGCUCGAUGAGUAGGGCGGGACACGUGGUAUCCUGUCUGAAUAUGGGGGGCCCAUCCUCCAAGGCUAAAUACUCCUGACUGACCGAUAGUGAACCAGUACCGUGAGGGAAAGGCGAAAAGAACCCCGGCGAGGGGAGUGAAAAAGAACCUGAAACCGUGUACGUACAAGCAGUGGGAGCACGCUUAGGCGUGUGACUGCGUACCUUUUGUAUAAUGGGUCAGCGACUUAUAUUCUGUAGCAAGGUUAACCGAAUAGGGGAGCCGAAGGGAAACCGAGUCUUAACUGGGCGUUAAGUUGCAGGGUAUAGACCCGAAACCCGGUGAUCUAGCCAUGGGCAGGUUGAAGGUUGGGUAACACUAACUGGAGGACCGAACCGACUAAUGUUGAAAAAUUAGCGGAUGACUUGUGGCUGGGGGUGAAAGGCCAAUCAAACCGGGAGAUAGCUGGUUCUCCCCGAAAGCUAUUUAGGUAGCGCCUCGUGAAUUCAUCUCCGGGGGUAGAGCACUGUUUCGGCAAGGGGGUCAUCCCGACUUACCAACCCGAUGCAAACUGCGAAUACCGGAGAAUGUUAUCACGGGAGACACACGGCGGGUGCUAACGUCCGUCGUGAAGAGGGAAACAACCCAGACCGCCAGCUAAGGUCCCAAAGUCAUGGUUAAGUGGGAAACGAUGUGGGAAGGCCCAGACAGCCAGGAUGUUGGCUUAGAAGCAGCCAUCAUUUAAAGAAAGCGUAAUAGCUCACUGGUCGAGUCGGCCUGCGCGGAAGAUGUAACGGGGCUAAACCAUGCACCGAAGCUGCGGCAGCGACGCUUAUGCGUUGUUGGGUAGGGGAGCGUUCUGUAAGCCUGCGAAGGUGUGCUGUGAGGCAUGCUGGAGGUAUCAGAAGUGCGAAUGCUGACAUAAGUAACGAUAAAGCGGGUGAAAAGCCCGCUCGCCGGAAGACCAAGGGUUCCUGUCCAACGUUAAUCGGGGCAGGGUGAGUCGACCCCUAAGGCGAGGCCGAAAGGCGUAGUCGAUGGGAAACAGGUUAAUAUUCCUGUACUUGGUGUUACUGCGAAGGGGGGACGGAGAAGGCUAUGUUGGCCGGGCGACGGUUGUCCCGGUUUAAGCGUGUAGGCUGGUUUUCCAGGCAAAUCCGGAAAAUCAAGGCUGAGGCGUGAUGACGAGGCACUACGGUGCUGAAGCAACAAAUGCCCUGCUUCCAGGAAAAGCCUCUAAGCAUCAGGUAACAUCAAAUCGUACCCCAAACCGACACAGGUGGUCAGGUAGAGAAUACCAAGGCGCUUGAGAGAACUCGGGUGAAGGAACUAGGCAAAAUGGUGCCGUAACUUCGGGAGAAGGCACGCUGAUAUGUAGGUGAAGUCCCUUGCGGAUGGAGCUGAAAUCAGUCGAAGAUACCAGCUGGCUGCAACUGUUUAUUAAAAACACAGCACUGUGCAAACACGAAAGUGGACGUAUACGGUGUGACGCCUGCCCGGUGCCGGAAGGUUAAUUGAUGGGGUCAGCGCAAGCGAAGCUCUUGAUCGAAGCCCCGGUAAACGGCGGCCGUAACUAUAACGGUCCUAAGGUAGCGAAAUUCCUUGUCGGGUAAGUUCCGACCUGCACGAAUGGCGUAAUGAUGGCCAGGCUGUCUCCACCCGAGACUCAGUGAAAUUGAACUCGCUGUGAAGAUGCAGUGUACCCGCGGCAAGACGGAAAGACCCCGUGAACCUUUACUAUAGCUUGACACUGAACAUUGAGCCUUGAUGUGUAGGAUAGGUGGGAGGCUUUGAAGUGUGGACGCCAGUCUGCAUGGAGCCGGCCUUGAAAUACCACCCUUUAAUGUUUGAUGUUCUAACGUGGACCCGUGAUCCGGGUUGCGGACAGUGUCUGGUGGGUAGUUUGACUGGGGCGGUCUCCUCCUAAAGAGUAACGGAGGAGCACGAAGGUUGGCUAAUCCUGGUCGGACAUCAGGAGGUUAGUGCAAUGGCAUAAGCCAGCUUGACUGCGAGCGUGACGGCGCGAGCAGGUGCGAAAGCAGGUCAUAGUGAUCCGGUGGUUCUGAAUGGAAGGGCCAUCGCUCAACGGAUAAAAGGUACUCCGGGGAUAACAGGCUGAUACCGCCCAAGAGUUCAUAUCGACGGCGGUGUUUGGCACCUCGAUGUCGGCUCAUCACAUCCUGGGGCUGAAGUAGGUCCCAAGGGUAUGGCUGUUCGCCAUUUAAAGUGGUACGCGAGCUGGGUUUAGAACGUCGUGAGACAGUUCGGUCCCUAUCUGCCGUGGGCGCUGGAGAACUGAGGGGGGCUGCUCCUAGUACGAGAGGACCGGAGUGGACGCAUCACUGGUGUUCGGGUUGUCAUGCCAAUGGCACUGCCCGGUAGCUAAAUGCGGAAGAGAUAAGUGCUGAAAGCAUCUAAGCACGAAACUUGCCCCGAGAUGAGUUCUCCCUGACCCUUUAAGGGUCCUGAAGGAACGUUGAAGACGACGACGUUGAUAGGCCGGGUGUGUAAGCGCAGCGAUGCGUUGAGCUAACCGGUACUAAUGAACCGUGAGGCUUAACCUU
RNAcentral lists this ribosomal RNA (2902 nucleotides) under Shigella sonnei. Its description in RNAcentral is "bacterial LSU rRNA". It matches the Rfam family "Bacterial large subunit ribosomal RNA". Lineage: Bacteria; Pseudomonadati; Pseudomonadota; Gammaproteobacteria; Enterobacterales; Enterobacteriaceae. The record is from RNAcentral.